RNAcentral lists this long non-coding RNA (1127 nucleotides) under Homo sapiens (human). RNAcentral's name for it is "long intergenic non-protein coding RNA 327". Lineage: Eukaryota; Metazoa; Chordata; Mammalia; Primates; Hominidae. The record is from RNAcentral.
CAUGUCUGAAAUCUACAGCAUGUAGAUUUCAUACAGGGCACAGUGGUUGACCAGUAAUGAGUUCCUGCAGGAGGGGACCCUUCCAGUGAAUGUAGACCUGGAAAAUGAGAUUGUCCUAUUUAUUCCUCUGAAUAUUCCCCAGCAUCUAUCACAGUGCUCUUUAUAAACUCAGCCCUCACGGAACCCUAAAAGCUGGCUAAGGGGCCAUUCUCCUCGCCACCUGGGCCUGCGUCUGCCGAAUCGCUUCCUAAGGACUUUGACUAGAAACCAAAGGUCCCAUUUUUCAUCUGCCAUUUAUUUAUCAUUGCAUAACUUAGUGAAAGCAUAUUGACUUUCCUGACUUCUUAUGACCACAUUUGAGGAAAGGAGUAAGCACUGGAAUCACCAACACAGCAUGCUUACGGAGGGUGGUCACCAGCUUCAUCAGCCUCCCAAUUCCACGGAGCCCCUUGAAAAUCCAGGAGCGCAGACUGGCAACAGUAGAGAUUUAAUAGGAGUUUACUGGAGGUUAUACUCCAGUCAAAGAAGAUGGAAACCAAGAAAGGACACAUUUUGGAGAUUAGCACUGGCUCCAGGAACCCAGUGAACAGAAGACUCAGGCUGAAGGCUUGUGCAUUCAGCCCAGAGAAAAUCCACUUAAAUUCAGAACAAUUAAGGACUCUGGGGAAGAAGGACUUCACAUGGUAGUGUGAUUGGAAGGCAGAUAAAUUUUAGGACACAAUGGAAGUUCCUAAGAUUUUUUAUCCUUUUCCAAUAGGAAGGAUAAAAAAAUCAUCUAAAACUAGAGGAAAAAUCAUCUAAAACAAGGUAUAAAGAAAUGGCUCACGUGUGACCCUUAUUUUACUGUGACAUGGAGCAUUUGAUGAAGGAUGUGGGAAGGGAGCCUGCUUAACUAUGAAGUGAGUAGCAUCGCCCCAGGAGCACCAUGACAGAUGCACAGGACAUGGAGGGAAGGAAAUGGCAUCCUGGCACAGCCCUGGCUCUACAUUGAGCAAUGUAGACAAAAUCAUAAAGGCUGCUCUAGUUUUCUACUUUUAGAAUCAACCUACAGACAUGUAAGACUUAAUUGUAGUUGUAGAAUAAAAGAUAAAAGAUUAUUGGCUUUCAUAACAAUAAAGUCCUAACAA